RNAcentral lists this ribosomal RNA (407 nucleotides) under uncultured bacterium. Its description in RNAcentral is "partial 16S ribosomal RNA". It matches the Rfam family "Bacterial small subunit ribosomal RNA", at positions 30 to 526 of the family's 1533-position model. The record is from RNAcentral.
AUCGAACGCUGGCGGCAGGCCUAACACAUGCAAGUCGAGCGGAGAGGCGGACGGGUGAGUAAUGCCUAGGAAUCUGCCCGGUAGUGGGGGAUAACGUCCGGAAACGGGCGCUUAUACCACAUACUAUCAGAUGAGCCUCGGUUGGAUUCGCUAGUUGGUGGGGUAAAGGACUACCAAGGUGACGAGCCUUAACUGGCCUGAGAGGAUGAUCAGUCACACUGGAACUGAGACACGGUCCAGACUCCUACGGGAGGCAGCAGUGGGGAAUAUUGGACAAUGGGCGAAAGCCUGAUCCAGCCAUGCCGCGUGUGUGAAGAAGGUCUUCGGAUUGUAAAGCACUUUAAGUUGGGAGGCGUUACCUACAGAAUAAGCACCGGCUAACUUCGUGCCAGCAGCCGCGGUAAUUC